RNAcentral lists this ribosomal RNA (722 nucleotides) under Pseudomonas sp. MYb184. RNAcentral describes it as "bacterial SSU rRNA". It matches the Rfam family "Bacterial small subunit ribosomal RNA", at positions 54 to 772 of the family's 1533-position model. Lineage: Bacteria; Pseudomonadati; Pseudomonadota; Gammaproteobacteria; Pseudomonadales; Pseudomonadaceae. The record is from RNAcentral.
CAUGCAGUCGAGCGGUAGAGAGAAGCUUGCUUCUCUUGAGAGCGGCGGACGGGUGAGUAAUGCCUAGGAAUCUGCCUGGUAGUGGGGGAUAACGUUCGGAAACGGACGCUAAUACCGCAUACGUCCUACGGGAGAAAGCAGGGGACCUUCGGGCCUUGCGCUAUCAGAUGAGCCUAGGUCGGAUUAGCUAGUUGGUGGGGUAAUGGCUCACCAAGGCGACGAUCCGUAACUGGUCUGAGAGGAUGAUCAGUCACACUGGAACUGAGACACGGUCCAGACUCCUACGGGAGGCAGCAGUGGGGAAUAUUGGACAAUGGGCGAAAGCCUGAUCCAGCCAUGCCGCGUGUGUGAAGAAGGUCUUCGGAUUGUAAAGCACUUUAAGUUGGGAGGAAGGGUUGUAGAUUAAUACUCUGCAAUUUUGACGUUACCGACAGAAUAAGCACCGGCUAACUCUGUGCCAGCAGCCGCGGUAAUACAGAGGGUGCAAGCGUUAAUCGGAAUUACUGGGCGUAAAGCGCGCGUAGGUGGUUUGUUAAGUUGGAUGUGAAAUCCCCGGGCUCAACCUGGGAACUGCAUUCAAAACUGACUGACUAGAGUAUGGUAGAGGGUGGUGGAAUUUCCUGUGUAGCGGUGAAAUGCGUAGAUAUAGGAAGGAACACCAGUGGCGAAGGCGACCACCUGGACUAAUACUGACACUGAGGUGCGAAAGCGUGGGGAGCAAA